Molecule: long non-coding RNA, 762 nt
Filed under: Homo sapiens (human)
Lineage: Eukaryota; Metazoa; Chordata; Mammalia; Primates; Hominidae
Description: HSALNT0132854
Source: RNAcentral
CUUCCAAUUAAGAGGAACUGUGUUUGAAGAGCUAUUAUUAAAGAACCACCCCUGAGAAGCUUUAUUUUCCCCUGGACCCAAUUUAGAGAAUGACAUACUGGACUUCUGGCUGAUGCUGUAAUGGGAAAAUUAGCUGGGCGUGGUGGUGAGGACCUGCAGUUCCAGCUACUCAGGAGGCUGAGACAAGAGAAUAGCAUGAACCCGGGAGGCAGAGCUUGCAGGAAGCCGAGAUCGCCCAGGAAGCCGAGAUAGCGCAACUGUACUCCAGCCUGGGUGACAGAGCGAGACUCCAUCUCAAAAAAAAAAAAAAAAAAAAAUUGGGGUAUAGCCAUAUUGGAGCAAAGGAAAGGCAAACAGGUAGAGAUACAAGAGCUAAAAACCUACAUCCCUUAACAGAGUCAGUGAACACCAUCUAAAACUGAUGCAUAAAUAGCAGAACAUGCAUAUUAUGUAGAAAAUACGGAGACAAAUAUCAGAAGAAUUACCUAAAAUUGUUGAAAGGCCUUGUUUCUUUUUUUUUCUUUAUUAUUGUACUUUAAGUUCUAGGGUACAUGUGCACAAUGUGCAGGUUUGUUACAUAUGUAUACAUGUCCCAUGUUGGUGUGCUGCACCCAUUAACUCGUCAUUUACAUUAGGUAUAUCUCCUAAUGCUAUCCCUCCCCCCUCCCCCCACCCCACAACAUUCCCCGAUGUGUGAUGUUCCCCUUCCUGUGUUCAUGUGUUCUCAUUGUUCAAUUCCCACCUAUGAGUGAAAACGUGGUG